AGCAGUCGCCGCGGUAAUACGGAGGGUGCAAGCGUUAUCCGGAUUUAUUGGGUUUAAAGGGUCCGUAGGCGGAUCUGUAAGUCAGUGGUGAAAUCUCACAGCUUAACUGUGAAACUGCCAUUGAUACUGCAGGUCUUGAGUAAAUUUGAAGUGGCUGGAAUAAGUAGUGUAGCGGUGAAAUGCAUAGAUAUUACUUAGAACACCAAUUGCGAAGGCAGGUCACUAAGAUUUAACUGACGCUGAUGGACGAAAGCGUGGGGAGCGAACAGGAUUAGAUACCCCUGUAGUCCCUGUCUCUUAUAA
This 303-nucleotide ribosomal RNA is filed under the name uncultured bacterium. RNAcentral describes it as "partial 16S ribosomal RNA". It matches the Rfam family "Bacterial small subunit ribosomal RNA", at positions 507 to 809 of the family's 1533-position model. The record is from RNAcentral.